AGAGUUUGAUCCUGGCUCAGAUUGAACGCUGGCGGCAUGCUUUACACAUGCAAGUCGGACGGCAGCACAGAGAAGCUUGCUUCUUGGGUGGCGAGUGGCGAACGGGUGAGUAACAUAUCGGAACGUACCGAGCAGUGAGGGAUAACUAAUCGAAAGAUUAGCUAAUACCGCAUAUUUUCUGAGGAAGAAAGCAGGGGACCAUUUGGCCUUGCGCUGUUUGAGCGGCCGAUAUCUGAUUAGCUAGUUGGUGGGGUAAAGGCUUACCAAGGCGACGAUCAGUAGCGGGUCUGAGAGGAUGAUCCGCCACACUGGGACUGAGACACGGCCCAGACUCCUACGGGAGGCAGCAGUGGGGAAUUUUGGACAAUGGGCGCAAGCCUGAUCCAGCCAUGCCGCGUGUCUGAAGAAGGCCUUCGGGUUGUAAAGGACUUUUGUCAGGGAAGAAAAGGGCGGGGUUAAUACCCCUGUCUGAUGACGGUACCUGAAGAAUAAGCACCGGCUAACUACGUGCCAGCAGCCGCGGUAAUACGUAGGGUGCGAGCGUUAAUCGGAAUUACUGGGCGUAAAGCGAGCGCAGACGGUUACUUAAGCAGGAUGUGAAAUCCCCGGGCUCAACCUGGGAACUGCGUUCUGAACUGGGUGACUAGAGUGUGUCAGAGGGAGGUAGAAUUCCACGUGUAGCAGUGAAAUGCGUAGAGAUGUGGAGGAAUACCGAUGGCGAAAGCAGCCUCCUGGGAUAACACUGACGUUCAUGCUCGAAAGCGUGGGUAGCAAACAGGAUUAGAUACCCUGGUAGUCCACGCCCUAAACGAUGUCAAUUAGCUGUUGGGCAACUUGAUUGUUCAGUAGCGUAGCUAACGCGUGAAAUUGACCGCCUGGGGAGCACGGUCGCAGAU
RNAcentral lists this ribosomal RNA (896 nucleotides) under uncultured bacterium. RNAcentral describes it as "bacterial SSU rRNA". It matches the Rfam family "Bacterial small subunit ribosomal RNA", at positions 8 to 894 of the family's 1533-position model. The record is from RNAcentral.